Molecule: ribosomal RNA, 498 nt
Filed under: uncultured bacterium
Lineage: Bacteria
Description: partial 16S ribosomal RNA
Rfam family: Bacterial small subunit ribosomal RNA
Source: RNAcentral
AUUGAACGCUGGCGGCAUGCCUUACACAUGCAAGUCGAACGGUAACAGGUCUCCGGAUGCUGACGAGUGGCGAACGGGUGAGUAAUACAUCGGAACGUGCCCGAUCGUGGGGGAUAACGAAGCGAAAGCUUUGCUAAUACCGCAUAAGAUCUACGGAUGAAAGCAGGGGACCGCAAGGCCUUGCGCGAACGGAGCGGCCGAUGGCAGAUUAGGUAGUUGGUGGGAUAAAAGCUUACCAAGCCGACGAUCUGUAGCUGGUCUGAGAGGACGACCAGCCACACUGGGACUGAGACACGGCCCAGACUCCUACGGGAGGCAGCAGCGGGGAAUUUUGGACAAUGGGCGAAAGCCUGAUCCAGCCAUGCCGCGUGCAGGAUGAAGGCCUUCGGGUUGUAAACUGCUUUUGUACGGAACGAAAAGACUCUUUCUAAUAAAGAGGGUCCAUGACGGUACCGUAAGAAUAAGCACCGGCUAACUACGUGCCAGCAGCCGCCGUAA